Molecule: long non-coding RNA, 1684 nt
Organism: Aegilops tauschii subsp. strangulata
Lineage: Eukaryota; Viridiplantae; Streptophyta; Magnoliopsida; Poales; Poaceae
Source: RefSeq, a predicted model, not a curated record
AAUAUUCAACCCGCAGUGUCUUAUCCGCUCCCUUCCCUCCAGAUUCUGUACAGUACGCCGCCGGCCGCCGUUCUUCUCCGCCCGUCCGCCGCCGUGGCCGAUCCGGGAGACGGUGCUGGACAGCGUGGCGGCGUACCACCACCAGCAGCGGAUGCGCCGCAGGUUCCGCAAGAGCCUCUCCUGCCCGCUACACAAGGCUCACCGGCGGUGCAGCGGGAUUUUGCUCGACCGCAACCCCAAAUCCCCUCCUACCCGACCUAGCGCCGCCACCCACCAGAGCCCAUCCUCUCCUCGGCUGGAUGCCCAUCGGCGCAACCUGGCCAGAUGCAGCACGCGCACGAGCAUCCACUUGGUCGCCUCGAGCCGGGCAAGGAAGUUGGGCACAACGAGCGGCUCAUGGAGGCCUUGGUCGUCGGGGAUGGGGCAGAGCACAUGCGGAGGCCGGACUCGCGCCCCAGCACCUCCACAACAAGUGUGCGUCGCGAGCGAUCUUCGGUGAGGCCGUGGCGACGGGGAGUACCUGGUGGCGCUUAAUGCGACGACACCGCUAAGUAACUGCGUCCACUGAUGCUGGCUUGGCAUCUUCCACUCUGCUGUCGAAGGUGGUUUGGUGCAUGACGAGAUUUUUCAUAGUAAUCAUAACAUUUCCUUUCCGAUGAGAGUAUAAGCUGAAACUAGACACAUCCCCAUCAGGUAAAUUGAUUCAUGUUCUUACUUCAUGUCCAGACAGCAAGAUGAAACUUAAUAUUUUGUAGUCUGGAGUUUUGCAGAUACUUUUGCUAGUGUAUUUGUUGGAUCUUGAAUUUCAUAUAUUUUCAUAUUUGUCUUACACAUGUUAAAGAACCGGAUCCAGAACAUUGCCAAGGGAAAGCCCAAAGUCUUCUUGUGAAACUAGAUUAAUUGUACAAGAUUGAAUGGGACCAAACAUUAUACAUGAUAAUCGUUUCUUUGAAGUUUGAAGGUGGCGCGUGAAGUCUUUUAAAUUAUAUAUUCAUUUAAUUCAGUUGGAGAGGAAUACAUUCUGUUAAAAAUUAACAUGAUAUUUUAGUAUGAUUGGUCCUUUUGGAGUACACUCAUAGCACAAAAUAAUUAUUUGGUGGCCUCAUACAUGUUUGUUGCGCCUACCCUUUGCAGCACAGCAGCGACAACAUGCUUGGCCAUGUCUUAAUUUCGGUGUCUGAGAGCACAAAAUUGCAUGACUUUCAGAUGAUCAGAGACAUAGUAGGGUCUCUAUACUGAAGUUAUUAUGAGUCAACCUAAUAUUUUGUUCUGUUUAUUGCAAAUAGAACCAGAAGCCGAGAUGCAAAUACGCAAUUAAACAUAGAAUCUUUAUGUGGUGUGAACAAGAUGAACAACAUGAGAAAAUGGAGCGGGAAUCGGAAUCGAAUGGAAAACAGAGUUAACGGCUCAGAUCAGCGACAUGAACUCCUCAAUUUUCCCUAUUAUAUUAGCCCAAGGAUGGAGUAUCUUUAUCCUGCUCUUGCCAAUGGGAUACGAAAGGCGCUCUUCCAUCCAAUUCCUCGACCCGGUCAACCCAAGUACAUUGUGAAUGGUGCUUGAUUGUAGCGAAGCGUCAUUGAAUUAAAUGUAUUUACGAGUUAUAAAUGUUAUUACUAAUCUUAUAGAGUUGGAAUGUUAUUAAGAGAAUUUCAAUUUGACAAGUGAAAGAUCUUGAUUGGUGCUU